UGGCGGUGAUGACAUUCUUAGGACACCUUUGGAUUAACAAUGAAAACAAUCAUCGACUGAGCCAU
RNAcentral lists this small nucleolar RNA (65 nucleotides) under Ornithorhynchus anatinus (platypus). RNAcentral describes it as "Small nucleolar RNA SNORD58 (ENSOANG00000041211.1)". It matches the Rfam family "Small nucleolar RNA SNORD58". Rfam says of the family: snoRNA U58 is found in introns 1, 3 and 6 of the ribosomal protein RPL17 gene in humans. U58 is a member of the C/D class of snoRNA which contain C (UGAUGA) and D (CUGA) box motifs. Most of the members of the box C/D family function in directing site-specific 2'-O-methylation of substrate RNAs. Lineage: Eukaryota; Metazoa; Chordata; Mammalia; Monotremata; Ornithorhynchidae. The record is from Rfam by way of RNAcentral.